AGUGAACGCUGGCGGUAGGCCUAACACAUGCAAGUCGAACGGCAGCACAGUAAGAGCUUGCUCUUACGGGUGGCGAGUGGCGGACGGGUGAGGAAUACAUCGGAAUCUACUUUUUCGUGGGGGAUAACGUAGGGAAACUUACGCUAAUACCGCAUACGACCUACGGUUGAAAGCAGGGGAUCUUCGGACCUUGCGCGAUUGAAUGAGCCGAUGUCGGAGUAGCUAGUUGGCGGGGUAAAGGCCCACCAAGGCGACGAUCCGUAGCUGGUCUGAGAGGAUGAUCAGCCACACUGGAACUGAGACACGGUCCAGACUACUACGGGAGGCAGCAGUGGGGAAUAUUGGACAAUGGGCGCAAGCCUGAUCCAGCCAUACCGCGUGGGUGAAGAAGGCCUUCGGGUUGUAAAGCCCUUUUGUUGGGAAAGAAAAGCAGCAGGUUAAUACCCCGCUGUUCUGACGGUACCCAAAGAAUAAGCACCGGCUAACUUCGUG
RNAcentral lists this ribosomal RNA (492 nucleotides) under uncultured bacterium. RNAcentral describes it as "partial 16S ribosomal RNA". It matches the Rfam family "Bacterial small subunit ribosomal RNA", at positions 29 to 507 of the family's 1533-position model. The record is from RNAcentral.